AUCCGUUUCUUGGACGAGAUCUCCAGCCGCCCAUCCUUGACGACUACCUGGCUCACUUCCCCGGAGCCAGGCAGCCGCGGGGAUAGGCGCGGAUGGGGAUCUGGCCCAAGAAGCACACGAGG
This is a non-coding RNA of Arthrobacter globiformis NBRC 12137, 122 nucleotides long. The record is from Rfam. NCBI's taxonomy places the organism in Bacteria, Bacillati, Actinomycetota, Actinomycetes, Micrococcales, Micrococcaceae.